RNAcentral lists this ribosomal RNA (581 nucleotides) under Ramularia sp. P7. RNAcentral's name for it is "eukaryotic LSU rRNA". It matches the Rfam family "Eukaryotic large subunit ribosomal RNA", at positions 41 to 664 of the family's 3401-position model. Lineage: Eukaryota; Fungi; Ascomycota; Dothideomycetes; Mycosphaerellales; Mycosphaerellaceae. The record is from RNAcentral.
UAUCAAUAAGCGGAGGAAAAGAAACCAACAGGGAUUGCCCUAGUAACGGCGAGUGAAGCGGCAACAGCUCAAAUUUGAAAUCUGGGUCUUUCAGGCUCCGAGUUGUAAUUUGUAGAGGAUGCUUCGGCAAAGGGCCUGGGAUAAGUUCCUUGGAACAGGAUGCCUAAGAGGGUGAGAGCCCCGUAAUCCUGGGUACCGCUGCCAUGUGAAGCUCCUUCGACGAGUCGAGUUGUUUGGGAAUGCAGCUCUAAGCGGGAGGUAAAUUUCUUCUAAAGCUAAAUAUUGGCCAGAGACCGAUAGCGCACAAGUAGAGUGAUCGAAAGAUGAAAAGCACUUUGGAAAGAGAGUUAAAAAGCACGUGAAAUUGUUGAAAGGGAAGCAUAUACUGCCAGACUUGCCACAGUCGCUCAGCCGUAAGGCGUAUUCUUCUGUGGCAGGCCAGCGUCAGUUUGGGCGGCUCGAUAAAGGCCUUGGGACUUGCUUCGGCAAGGCCCUCGGUGACAUAGGGCCAGCCUAGACUGAGGACCGCGUUCGCAAGGAUGCUGGCGUAAUGGCAGUAUGUGGCCCGUCUUGAAACACGG